CAGCAGCCGCGGGAAUACGUAGGGCGCAAGCGUUGUCCGGAAUUAUUGGGCGUAAAGAGCUCGUAGGCGGUCUGUCGCGUCUGGUGUGAAAUCCCGAGGCUCAACCUCGGGCUUGCAUCAGGUACGGGCAGACUAGAGUGCGGUAGGGGAGACUGGAAUUCCUGGUGUAGCGGUGGAAUGCGCAGAUAUCAGGAGGAACACCGAUGGCGAAGGCAGGUCUCUGGGCCGCAACUGACGCUGAGGAGCGAAAGCAUGGGGAGCGAACAGGAUUAGAUACCCCCGUAGUCCCUGUCUCUUAUAC
Molecule: ribosomal RNA, 301 nt
Filed under: uncultured bacterium
Lineage: Bacteria
Description: partial 16S ribosomal RNA
Rfam family: Bacterial small subunit ribosomal RNA
Source: RNAcentral